Molecule: ribosomal RNA, 468 nt
Filed under: uncultured bacterium
Lineage: Bacteria
Description: partial 16S ribosomal RNA
Rfam family: Bacterial small subunit ribosomal RNA
Source: RNAcentral
AACGAACGCUGGCGGCGUGCUUAACACAUGCAAGUCGAACGGAAAGGCCCUGCUUUUGUGGGGUGCUCGAGUGGCGAACGGGUGAGUAACACGUGAGUAACCUGCCCUUGACUUUGGGAUAACUUCAGGAAACUGGGGCUAAUACCGGAUAGGAGCUCCUGCUGCAUGGUGGGGGUUGGAAAGUUUCGGCGGUUGGGGAUGGACUCGCGGCCUAUCAGCUUGUUGGUGGGGUAGUGGCUUACCAAGGCUUUGACGGGUAGCCGGCCUGAGAGGGUGACCGGCCACAUUGGGACUGAGAUACGGCCCAGACUCCUACGGGAGGCAGCAGUGGGGAAUAUUGCACAAUGGGCGGAAGCCUGAUGCAGCAACGCCGCGUGCGGGAUGACGGCCUUCGGGUUGUAAACCGCUUUCGCCUGUGACGAAGCGUGAGUGACGGUAAUGGGUAAAGAAGCACCGGCUAACUACGUG